GUAGUGAUCCGUUUUCGAGUCUCAUUUUGGAUGUAACAAACAUCGUGGCAUACUUAAUACACUCCGUUUAUGAUUUGUUCUUCGAUUUGCAAUCACCAGCUAUGGUCUUAGUUGGAAUUUAUCGCACUUAUUUGAAAUCAAAUAUAGUACAGGCUCAUUCAUUCGACUAAAUGUUAUAAAAUUGUUAAAGGAACAAUUUGAUCAACCCGCAACCUAGCAUCUGCUGCUGCGCACGGCUAAGACAACUAUUUGACUUUAAUUUCAUGUUCUGGGUAUGCAUUUUUUUCUCCGGAUUUUGAAUCUACUUUGGACAAUCAAAUCAAGUUUACGCAUUAAGAGAAAUCCUAGAAAUAGGUCCAACAGUGGACACACACUUUUUGGAAUGAAACGUCGAUAAACCGCUUUACACGAUUAUGUACACAACUUAGUCAUAAUUAAUACGAAAAAUAUGGCGUUUACACUGUUACCAAGCUUCUCAUUCAAUUUUCGAGGAAUUUGUAUGGAAUUUAUAUGGGAAGUUUUUCAUAUUAUCAAUAAUAUGAAAAGUUGGAAACCACAAGUAGUGAGCAAUACUCAAAAUAAAUAAAAAAAAUAAAAUUGGUAUUGCUAAAUUUAAAUAUAUGUAAAAUAUAAGUUGAACCAACCCUUCACAUAUUUGCCUUAUAUAGGCAUUUUGGUAUAGUACUAUAUAAAUUUGUAUGUAUGUAUGUAUGCAGUUGUUUGUAAUAUAUAUACAUAUUUAUGUAUAAACAUAUUUAUUAUCAGAAUCUAUGCUCAUAAAUAUAUUUAAGCAUUAUUCAUAUAAAUGUAGAUACGAAUGUGUUGCGAGCUUCGAGCAAUGAAACAGUAGUGGGUGCCAACACUCUAAAUCUUUUUCAAUUGUUAACAAUUUUAAAUAGUUUUGUCGCUGGUUGAAUUGCAAAUGUAAAACUUUCUUUCCGCACUAUGUUUAUAAAUAAAACGAAUUUAGUUCACAUAGGCCUUUAUUGCCUUAAACGUUAUUUUACAUGGAAAUUAAGUGGAGCAAUAAAAUAAUAGUGCAAGGAAAAAAGUUAUCUUAAAUGAACGUUGAAAAAUAUUUUUCAAGUACUGUCUAUACCUAAUCUUAGUAUUUGGUAGUAUGAGCUUUAUUUUAAGUCACAACUUCACAGCAACAAUCUCACGUAGUGAUAUAUAUAUAUCAAAAUUAAUUUAACAAAUGCUCACUACUAUUUCAUUGCUUGCAGCUGUAUGUAUGUUUUUAGCAAUUUAAUUUAUGUUACCUGUGUUUUAACAAACCGUAUAUAAUUGUAAAUAUUUUUGAUAUUUAAGUACUGCAAUACUUGGCUGACACACCCUGACGCUAAAUAUGCAGAACACACUUUACGGCGCACAAGCCAAUCGGUAUGUUGUAGUUUGUUAAAGAUUUAGCGUUGUUGUUUUCUUUACCAUUACCGGCGCAUACAUAAUUGCGUUAAUCUUGUACCGCAUGUAUUGUAUUUAAAUUAUUAUUUUUAAUUUUUGCUGCUUAAUUAUUAAUUUUAAUUAGUUAAUUGUUUAAUAUUAGCAAUUAAAAGAUUACUUGAGCUUAAA
Long non-coding RNA from Bactrocera oleae (olive fruit fly), 1572 nucleotides. RefSeq lists it as uncharacterized. Lineage: Eukaryota; Metazoa; Arthropoda; Insecta; Diptera; Tephritidae. The record is from RefSeq and is a predicted model, not a curated record.